CAGAGUCCACAUAUGUUCGGGGGAGGGACCCCAGAAGGCGGCUGACAGUAUUCCUUUAGCCAGAAAUCCCUUCAGGGAAGAGAAAGGUGCUCCCCUUUGCCUGCUUUUAUACUACAGACUGUUUCCAACUCCAGCUAGAAGUGACUAUUGCCGAUUAUGCUAAUCAGUGGCGACAAGCUCCCUUUGACUGCUCACUUCUCCAGUGAGGCUUCAAGCUUCUAGGCAUCAAGAUUAGUAAGGCUGUCUUCUGGGUGGGCCAGUUUGUUUCUCAGUGACACGAAAACAUUGCCUGGGGUGUGCACUGGUAUUUUCCAGAAAAUAUUUCAAGCAGAAUAUACUUAUUUUCCAGUUUUGAAAACAACUAGAUUGCCCAUCUCCAUUUCUCUCUAUCAUCUACUGUAUUAUUCUAUGGACAACUGCCACCCUAAUAAGGAGUGACAUUGUUAUAACAGUGAGAUUGGCUCCUCCACUCUUUUCUUCCUCCUUCCACCAUGGGAUGGUAACAGCAAUAAGGCCCUCACAAGAUGUGAGUGCCUUGCUCUUGGACUUCCCAUACUCUACAACUCAAUUGUCAGCAUCUUUGCCACAUGUUUGGAGGCCUGAUAUCAGUUUGUCACCAUGUACUGUAUUUUUCCUGUCUGGUUGGGAGCAGAGAGCAGGUGCUUGGAAAUCCUGCUCUCAUCCAUUCUCCACACAUGACUGGUCUAUGUUCAGCUGAAUUAUGGUGAAUAUCACUUGAGAACUGCUGUAGUAACUGCACUUCAAGACCUGCCUGUAAUCUUGCCCUGCUAUUUGAUAUUCAUUCAGCAAAGCACAUAAAUGAAAUUAUUAAAACUA
Homo sapiens (human) is the source of this 837-nucleotide long non-coding RNA. Ensembl annotates it as MIR4307 host gene. The record is from Ensembl. Lineage: Eukaryota; Metazoa; Chordata; Mammalia; Primates; Hominidae.